Molecule: ribosomal RNA, 510 nt
Filed under: uncultured bacterium
Lineage: Bacteria
Description: bacterial SSU rRNA
Rfam family: Bacterial small subunit ribosomal RNA
Source: RNAcentral
CUGGCUCAGGAUGAACGCUAGCUACAGGCUUAACACAUGCAAGUCGAGGGGCGAGCGGGGAUCUAGCUUGCUAGAUUGCCGGCGACCGGCGCACGGGUGAGUAACGCGUAUCCAACCUCCCCUUAGUAGGGCAUAGCCCGUAGAAAUGCGGAUUAAUACCCUAUGUUAUUCGUCGAGGACAUCUGAAGUGAAUCAAAGGUUUACCGCUAAGGGAUGGGGAUGCGUCUGAUUAGGCAGCAGGCGGGGUAACGGCCCACCUGGCCUACGAUCAGUAGGGGUUCUGAGAGGAAGGUCCCCCACAUUGGAACUGAGACACGGUCCAAACUCCUACGGGAGGCAGCAGUGAGGAAUAUUGGUCAAUGGGCGAGAGCCUGAACCAGCCAAGUAGCGUGCAAGGAUGACGGCCCUAUGGGUUGUAAACUGCUUUUAUGCGGGGAUAAAGUGCGGCACGCGUGCCGUUUUGUAGGUACCGCAUGAAUAAGGACCGGCUAAUUCCGUGCCAGCAGCUGC